UUGGAGGGCAAGUCUGGUGCCAGCAGCCGCGGUAAUUCCAGCUCCAAUAGCGUAUAUUAAAGUUGUUGCAGUUAAAAAGCUCGUAGUUGAAUUUCGGGAUCAAUAUGUCGGUCGUGCCAUUGGUACGUACUGGUAUCAUUGAUUUCUCCUUUCUGACGAACCAUGAUGUCAUUAAUUUGGUGUUAUGGGGAGUUAGGACUGUUACUUUGAAAAAAUUAGAGUGUUUAAAGCAGGCAUUAGCUUGAAUACAUUAGCAUGGAAUAAUGAAAUAGGACGUUUGACCCUAUUUUGUUGGUUUCUAGGAUCGACGUAAUGAUUAAUAGGGAUAGUUGGGGGCAUUAGUAUUCAAUUGUCAGAGGUGAAAUUCUUGGAUUUAUUGAAGACUAACUACUGCGAAAGCAUUUGCCAAGGAUGUUUUCAUUAAUCAAGAACGAAAGUUAGGGGAUCGAAGACGAUCAGAUACCGUCGUAGUCUUAACCAUAAACUAUGCCGACUAGGGAUCGGAUGAUGUUAAUUUUUUAAUGACUCAUUCGGCGCCUUACGGGAAAC
RNAcentral lists this ribosomal RNA (549 nucleotides) under uncultured Glomeromycotina. Its description in RNAcentral is "SSU rRNA". It matches the Rfam family "Eukaryotic small subunit ribosomal RNA", at positions 548 to 1098 of the family's 1831-position model. Lineage: Eukaryota; Fungi; Glomeromycota. The record is from RNAcentral.